CAGAAACCCUACAAGAAAACCUACGCAAUAUCAUUCAGGAAAGAGGCAUGAGCAAAGACUUCAUGACUAAAACGCAAAAAGCAAUAGCAACAAAAGCCAAAAUAGACAAAUGGGAUCUAAUUAAACUAAAGCACUACUGCACAGCAAAAGAAA
Sapajus apella (tufted capuchin) is the source of this 153-nucleotide long non-coding RNA. RefSeq lists it as uncharacterized. The transcript is spliced from 3 exons. Lineage: Eukaryota; Metazoa; Chordata; Mammalia; Primates; Cebidae. The record is from RefSeq and is a predicted model, not a curated record.